CAGCAGCCACGGUAAUACAGAGGGUGCGAGCGUUAAUCGGAUUUACUGGGCGUAAAGCGUGCGUAGGCGGCUAAUUGAGUCGGAUGUGAAAUCCCCGAGCUUAACUUGGGAAUUGCAUUCGAUACUGGUUAGCUAGAGUGUGGGAGAGGAUGGUAGAAUUCCAGGUGUAGCGGUGAAAUGCGUAGAGAUCUGGAGGAAUACCGAUGGCGAAGGCAGCCAUCUGGCCUAACACUGACGCUGAGGUACGAAAGCAUGGGGAGCAAACAGGAUUAGAUACCCGGGUAGUCCCUGUCUCUUAUAC
RNAcentral lists this ribosomal RNA (301 nucleotides) under uncultured bacterium. RNAcentral describes it as "partial 16S ribosomal RNA". It matches the Rfam family "Bacterial small subunit ribosomal RNA", at positions 509 to 807 of the family's 1533-position model. The record is from RNAcentral.